Molecule: long non-coding RNA, 13996 nt
Filed under: Lynx pardinus (Iberian lynx)
Lineage: Eukaryota; Metazoa; Chordata; Mammalia; Carnivora; Felidae
Source: RNAcentral
UUUCGUUUGUGUCUUGCUCUGUUCCAGUUGGAAAAUGGGAGACUUUAAGUGCAACUGGAGAGUGGGACGAGGGGAUGGUGGCUGGUUGAGGUGAGCAAUAGAAAAAGCAGAAUGCAACAUUACCAGAGUAAUUCACUGUACUAUAAUCUUUAAAUUAAUUGAAUUUUUUCUUGGCCCAAGGGCGCACUGCGCAAACCUCAGAGGCGUGGUUAGUGGUCCUGGCCAAGAUAAAUGUGCAUAACCUCUCAAUUGAUCCCUUGACAUCUUUUUUUCUCUUCUUUUAAAGUUUUAUCUUUGAAUUUAAGUCAUUUGGCACCCUCCCCCAAAUUUGAGCAAAGAAUAUCUUUUUCCCUCUCGGCUGAGAGGACUCUGGGGACCCAUCUGGGGGCCACUUUUCAUGAGGAGCAUUGACAAACUUACACGAAAGAGGGACAAAAAGUAAGAUGAUUAAAUGUAAAUGAGGGAAAGUUGAGGAGUUCUGGGUAAGAUGACCCUGGAGAGGCAGAGACCCAUGGGAACACAGUAUGUAUCUCCACAACUGGGAAGGUUGGUCUGUGAAAGAAGGUCAGACCAUUUUUUCAAAGCUUCAGAGAACAGAACUAGGACUACGGAGGAAAAGUUACAAGGAGUUAGCUUUAAAAUCAUUACAUCCAUUUUGUUCAUACUUAAGACUGCACAAAUAAUGGCAUAGGAAUCUGAGUUUUCUGUACCCUGAAAGCAAACCAUCUGAGCAGAAUCAAUGUUGUAGAAUUGAUGAAAGGGUGUAGUAAGGGUUUCUAUAGGAAUUCCUUAAAAUGGCAGAAAUACUUGAUUCUGAAUUUUCCUCAUAAGCACCGUGCAGUAGCUAUGAUUUUGCAAGAAAAGUUCCAGGGGCGCCUGGCUGCCUCAGCUGGUAGAGCAUGCAACUCUUGAUCUCGGGGUGGUGAGCUUAAGCCCCACAUUGGGCAUACAGAUGACUUAAAAAGAAAGAAAAAUUCCUACUGCUGCUUCUUGUGCUGUAACUUUGCAGUGCUCUGCCUCUGCAGCAAGGCUGACCUAAAUGAUGUGGUCCAGCAAAGCACACAAACAAAAUAACACAGCCAUAAUCUUCUAGUCUCGAGGCUUGGUCCGGCUACAGUUCUUCCUUUGCCAUGAAGUUGUUGACCUGAAAAGUAAAACGGCUUAUUAUUUUACCAGCAAAAUGUGUUUAUUCAGGACUAGCAGAGGAAUUGGAAUUUGGGACAAGGAAGCUAUGGCAAAAGCCUUAGGCAAGUCCAAAGAACAUAGGAAAGGACCACUCUUCUAUAGAGGAUAGGGGGGAGUUGGGGGGAGCUGUUAUAAACAACAAGUCCAUUGCAGUAAACUGGGACUUUGAAGUAUAGUGGCUUCUCAUUGGCUGAGUUGUGACAGUUUGUCACUGGCUGGGCUGUUGCUGGGCAAAGGGAAAAUCCUCCUUUCUCCUACUGGGAUAGUGAAGUAGGUUUCUUCCUAUUGGGAAUGCAAUGUAGUCUGGUCCUAUUGGAUCUGCAAAGAGUUGCAAUGAGUGGUGGGGUCUGAGAGCUACCCUUUCUGGCCUCCUGGCUCCAUCUUAAAAGAAAUUUCCUUUAUUGAGUUCUGCAAGGUGUAAUUUCACCCAAAUUCAUGCUCUCACAAAGAUGGAGAAGAAAUUUCUUGUUUACCUUUAUAUUCUCAUACAGUUUUAGGUAACUGUAGAUAAAAGGAAGUUAAGAGUGAAUCUUUAUAUACUCUACCUAACCCUUCCCUUUCCCAUACUACAGUUCUGGUAUAAAAUGUGUUGGUGAAGGACGUAAAAUAAAAGUGACUGUACUAUAUCUCAUCCAAUAACAUAAACAAGAUUAAAAAAAAGAAAUAACAUGGUAAAAAUGCAAACAUAAAAUAAAACAAAGCACACAGAAGGUUUUCUAAACUCAAUCUAGAAAGAAACAUAUUCUAAGGAACAGAAAGAUGUCCUUACAGUUGCCUUACAGGGCUAAAGAGAAUUUAAUUUGAUAAUAACAUUUUAUUUUUUAUUUUUUUAUUUAUUUAUUGUCAAGUUGGCUAACAUAUAGUGUAGUCUUGGCUUCAGGAGUAGAUUCCCAUCAUUCAUCACUUACAUACAACACCCAGUGCUCAUCCCAACAGGUGCCCUCCUUAUUGCCCAUCACCCAUUUUUUUUUGUUUAUUUAUUUAUUUUGAGAGAGAGAGAGAGAGAGAAAGAAUGUGAGUGGGGGAGGGGCAGUGAGAGAAAGGGAGAGAGAGAAUCCCAAGCAGACUCCACACUGUCAGUACACAGUCUGAUGUGGGGCUCAAACUCACGAAUUGUGAGAUCGUGACCUGAGCUGAAAUCAAGAGUCAGGUGACUGACUGAGCCACCCAGGCACCGCUGAUAAUAACAUUUUUUUUAAUUAUAUUUUAAUUUACAUCCAAGUUUUUCAGCAUAUAGUACAACAAUGAUUUCAGGAGUAGAUUCCUUAAUGCCCCUUACCCAUUUAGCCCAUCCCCCUCCCACAACCCCUCCAGCAACCCUGUUUUUUCUCCAUAUUUAAGAGUCUCUUAUGUUUUGUCCCCCUCCCUGUUUUUAUAUUAUUUUUGCUUCCCUCCCCUAAUGUUCAUCUGUUUUGUCUCUUGAAGUCCUCAUAUGAGUGAAGUCAUAUGAUUUUUGUCUCUGACUAAUUUCACUUAGCAUAAUACCCUCUAGUUCCAUCUAUGUAGUUGCAAAUGGCAAGAUUUCAUUCUUUUUGAUUGCCGAGUAAUACUUCAUUGUGUGUGUGUGUGUGUGUGUGUGUGUGUGUGUGUGUGUACCACAUCUUCUUUAUCCAUUCAUCCAUCAAUGGACAUUUGGGCUCUUUCCAUACUUUGGCUAUUGUUAAUAGUGCUGCUAUAAACAUUGGGGUGCAUGUGCCCUUCGAAACAGCAUACCUAUAUCCCUUGGAUAAAUACCUACUAGUGCAGUUGCUGGGUCAUAGGGUAGUUCUAUUUUUAAUUUUUUGAGGAGCCUCCGUACUGUUUUCCAGAGUGGUUGCACCAGUUUGCAUUCCCAGUGAAUAACAUUUUUAAAUGUUUACUUAUUUUGAGAGAUAGCAUUCAUGCACACAUGAGCCAGGGGAGGGGCAGAGAGAGAGGUAGAGAAAGGAUCCCAAACAGGGUCUGCAUUGCCAUCGCAGAGCCCGACUUGGGGCUCAAAUCUACGAACCUUGAGACCAUGACCCAAGCCAACAUCAAGAGUCAGACGCCCAACCAAGUGAGUCACCCAGGCACCCCAAAGUCAAACUUUAGAUAACCAAACAGUUGGAGACACAUCAUCAUAGUCUAUACUGUAUCAUAGCUGAUAAUAUUAACAAGAUAAAAAAGGAAUGUGGCAAAAAUGAAAGCAAAAAACAAAGACAGCUUACAUAAUGAUAUAGAGAAAACUAUUCUCUAACUACAAACUCCUAAAAUACAUGGACUAGGAUCCCACCCCAGGCUCAGAAUUGAGAAAAAAAAAUUAUAUCCUCAAAGGCACAGCUUCAUUUUUUGCCCAUUUGAUGCCCUGAGCCACUCAUUAAGAAGUUCAGGCAAUCUUGGAGCACGUUGGUGGCUCAGUCAGUUGAGCAUCCAACUGUGGCUCAGGUCAUGAUCUUACAGUUCAUGAGUUCAAGCCCCACCUUGGGCUUUGUGCUGAUAGCACGGAAUCUGCUUCAGAUUCUCUGUCACCCUCUUUCUGCCCCUCCCCCACUCACGCUCUCUCUCAAAAAUAAAUAAACAUUAAAAAAAAUUUAAAAACAAAAAUGUUCAGGCAAUCUUGCUGGAAAGAAAGACCACAGGAAGAAAAAGUUUCUGAAAGAUGAAACACCACACGGAGAGAAGCCACAUGAAGCCACCAGUCUGCAUCUUAUCCAAACAUAUGAGGAAGGCCUUCCCAGACCUUGUGCCCAGAUCUGCCAACAGCUGAGUUCAACUGCACAAGUGAGUCUAGUUAACAACACAUGAAAGAGAGGUGAGUUGUUCUCACUGAACUCUGUGCAAAUUCCUGACUCACAAAAUGUGAGCAAUAAAAUGGUUGUUGUUUUAAGCCACUACAUUCUGGAGUACUUUGUUAUGCAGCAAUAGAUACCUAAAACACUGAUAUUGAUCAUUUGCAUCUUCCAUUUCUUUUUCUUCAUCUGUCUAGUUAGAGAUUACCAAAUUAUUAUGCUGUGAUCAGAAAACAAACUUUGUCAGAUAUCAAUAUUAUAAAAAUUGCUGAGACUUAUUUUGUCCCCCCCAAAUGUGGUCUAUCUUGGUAAAUGUUCCAUGGUCAGUGAAAAAGAAUGUGUUGUACAGUUGUGGAGCACUGAAUUCUAUCAAUGUCAAUGGGGUUAAGGCAGUUGAUAGUUUUGUUCAGAUCUUCUAUAUCAUUAUUGACUUUUCAUAUAGUUUCACUAUUUAAUUACCAAGAUAGGGGAGUUAAAAUUUCUUACAAUGGAUUUGUGUAUUUCUUUUGUCCUUUAGUAUGGUCAGUUUUUCCUUCACAUAUUUUUAUUUUUAUUUUUUUAUAUGAAAUUUAUUGUCAAAUUGGUUUCCAUACAACACCCAGUGCUCAUCCCAACAGGUGCCCUCCUCAAUACCCAUCACCCACCCUCUCCUUCCUCCCACCCCCCAUCAACCCUCAGUUUAUUCUCAGUUUUUAAGAGUCUCUUAUGGUUUGGCUCCCUCCCUCUCUAACUUUUUUUUUUCCUUCUCCUCCCCCAUGGUCUUCUGUUAAGUUUCUCAGGAUCCACAUAAGAGUGAAAACAUAUGGUAUCUGUCUUUCUCUGUAUGACUUAUUUCACUUAGCAUAACACUGUCCAGUUCCAUCCAUGUUGCAACAAAAGGCCAUAUUUCAUUCUUUCUCAUUGCCAAGUAAUAUUCCAUUGUCCUUUACAAAGUUUUGUUAUUUUGAGCACAUUAACAGUGUUGGUUCUUGUGUCUUCCUGAUGAAAUAAUCAUUUUAUCAUUAUGAAAAAUCCUCUUUGUCUCUGAUAACACCUCUUAAAGUGAAAUUUCUCUUAUAUUAAUAUAGUCACUGAAGCUUUCUCAGCUUACUGUCUGUGUUCUAUAUCUUUCUAUCUUUCUACUUUUAACCGUGGUUUUUUAAAUGUGCUUCCCUUGUAGACAAUAAUUAGUUGGAUCUUCCUAUUUUUAAUUCAAUCUGACAACCUCUACCUCUACCUAUUAAUUGGUGUGUUUAUCCAUUUAUAUUAAUUAUAAUAAUUUAUUUUAUUGAAAUUAAGUCUGUCAUUUUGAUAUUUGUUUCUAAUUUGUUCCAUUAGUUUUGUGUUCCUCUGUUCUUCACUUACUGCCAGUUUUUGGAUUAAUCAAAUGUUUUAGUAUUCCACUUGAAUUCCUCUGUUAGCUUUCAACUGUAUCUUUUUGCUUUAUUGUUUUAGCAAUGUUUUUAGGAAUUAUGGUAUGCAUUCUUAAGUUAUCAAUAUUCCUAGAGUUAAAAUUGUGAUACUUCACAUAAAAUAAAAGAGCCUUUCACCACCACCUGCAAAUCCUUUAUGCUUCAUUGUGUUGUUUGUUACAUCUACAUUCAUUAUAGUUUUUGCUUUAAAUGGUCAUAUGUCCUUUAAAAAAUUAAGAAAUGUGUAUGGUGUCUUCUAUAUUUAUCUAUGUUUACUAUUUUCAGUGCUUUCAUUCCUUCUAAUAAUCUUCAAAUAGCUGCCAGAAAUUCUUUCCAUUACCACCCACAUAUGCAUGUUGCUUCUCCCAAUAAGAUGUACAGUCUAGAGGCGCCUGGGUGGCUCAGUUGGUUAACCAUCUGACUUCAGCUCAGGUCAUGAUCUCAUGGUUCAUGAGUUCGAGCCUCGCAUCAGGUUCUGUGCUGACAUCUCAGAGCCUGGAGCCUGAUUCAGAUUCUGUGUCUUCCUCUCUCUCUGCCCUUGCUCUGCUCAUGCUCUCUCUCAAAAAUAAAUAAACAUAAAAAAAAAAAGACGUAGAGUCUAUUUCUCCUUCCCUUGAAUCUGGGUGUGUCUUUGACUUGCUUUGAUGAACAAAAUAUGCCAAAGACUGAUGCCAUGCCAGUUCUAGAUAUAAACCUUAAGAAGGUUUGCAUCUUCUACUUUUAUCUUCUAGAAAUCCAGCCAGCAUGUAAAUAGGUUUGGUCUAGAUUAUUGAAUAAAAAAAAAAAAAAAAAAAACAUUUGGAAAGAGAGAGGCCUAUCCCAGCCGUUUCAGCUACCACAUCUGAGUCACCAAACAUGUGAAUGAAGCUAUUUUGGAAGCUGACUUCCCAGCUGAAUGCAGCCACAUCGGUGAAGUAGGCCAAUAACACCCAAAUCUGAAGAACCACCCAGUUAAAUCUAGCUAAGGCACAGAAUAGGAAGAAAUAAUAAAUGAUAAUCAUUUUAAACCACUAAAUUCAUUACACAGUAAAGGAAAUUAAAACAUUAUAGAUCUCAAUUUUCAGCAGGUAAGUCAUUGUCUUUAAUCCUGAAGAAAAUUUUUAACAUUGUUUGUGGUAUAGGUCUAUUGGUGUUGAAUUUUCUGUUUUCAUUUACCUGAAAAUGUCUAUUGUGUCUUCUGUUUUAAAGGAUACUUUUUCUGGAUAUGGAAUUCUGAAUUGGCAAUUUUUGUCUUCCCGUUCUUUAAGCCCUUCCAUUGUCUUUUUUUAAGUUUAUUUAUUUAGAGAGCAAGUGAGAAAUUGUGGGGAAGGGGCAGAGAGAAAGAGAGAAAGAAAAUCCCAAGCAGGCUCCAUGAUCAGCUCAGCACCUAAUGUGGGGCUCAAUCUCACAACGGAGAGAUCAUGACCUGAACUGAUAUCAAGAGUUGGAUGCUUAAUCAACUGAGUCACCCAGACGCCCCUCUCUUUAUUUAUUUUAAAGUAAACUCUACCCCCAAUGUGGGGUUUGAACUUAUUACAACCCCAAGAUCAAGAGUUGCAUGCUCUACCAACUGAGCAGCCAAGUGCCCUGUCUUUUGAUCUCUUGUUUCUGAUGAGAACCAGCUAUCAUUUUUACCAUCUUCACUCAUGUGUAAUAUAUCACUUUUCUCUGGCUGCCUUCAAGACUUUUUCUUCCCCGUUUGGUUUGACUAUAAUGUGUCUAAGUAUGGGUUUUGUUUUGUUUUGUAAAUAUUCUACUUGUUAUCCACUGAAUUUCCUAUAUGUGUAAGGUUUUUUCUCCACUAAAUUUGGGUUAUUUUCAGCCAUUAUUGCCUCAAAUAUUUUUUUCAUGCAGUUUUCUCUCUGCUCUCUUUCUGGGAUUCCAGUUGUAUGCAUGUAAGUUCUUUUGAUGUUGAUACAUUACUGAAUCUUUGUUCAUUUUUUUCUUUCUGAUUUUUAAAGCAGAUAUUUCUACUGAUCUAUUUUCAAAUUAACUCUUUGUUGUUUUUUCAGUGUUCAGUCUGCUGAUAAGCCCAUUUAGUGAAUUUUUCUAUUUUAAUUACUGUACUUCUUAGUUCUUGGAGUUUUUUUUUUUAAUAUAUGAAAUUUAUUGUCAAAUUGGUUUCCAUACAACACCCAGUGCUCAUCCCAAAAGGUGCCCUCCUCAAUACCCAUCACCCACCCUCCCCUCCCUCCCACCCCCUGGAGUUUUUCUUAAAAAAAAAAAAAAGUUUCACUUAUAUGCUGACAUCCCUUAUCUCCUCAUUCAUUACAAUGAUGUCUUCAUUUAAGUCCUUGAAAAUAUUUAUGAAUGUUACUUAAUUUUUUUCCUAAUCCCCAAAUCCAGGUCAUCUCACAGAAAUUUUUUAUAGACUACGUUUUCUCUUAUGGUUCACAUUUUCCUAAAUCUUUGUAUGUUUGAUAAUAAUUGUAUGUUAGAUAAUACAUUAUAGGGAGUCUGGCUAAUCCUGUCUUCCUUUAAAGAAUAUUACAUCUAUGUAUCAUGCAAAUUAAUCAUUGAUUGGUCCUUUUGGUUAUGUUAGCUUUGGUCUUGUUAUUUUCAUCAUGUGUUUAUUUUGGUUUUAUACUUGGCCCUAGCAUGUCCUUCUUACUUUUUUUUUUUUUUUUUUGCAUGGUUCUUUCUCUUAAGGCUUGAUUCUGGAUUCUCAAUUAUGUGCCUAAAGUAUUAGAGAAGUUGCUGCUCUUGGGCUGGGCUGCAAAUCCAAUGUCUCAGCACUACAUGACUUUUAGGAUCGCUCUUCAGCCUUCCUCUUGCAACAGGCAAACUUGCCUGGCACAUUUGUGUCCCUCCACCCCCACAUAUGUGCACACAUGCACACACACAUACACACCGACACUACAGCAGCUCAGGUAUUCUAACCCACAAAAUUCCAGCCACUUCAAUAACUUUGACCCCUGAUAAUUUUCUCCUCAUCUCAGGAAGGCCACUACUUUACUUGAACUUCACCUCCCUAAUUAUGGAGCUUACCUUGUGUGCUUUGUUCUCAAGUAUGACAGUCACAUGCUGCUUGUUUAUCAGUGCAUGAAGAUUGUUCUAAGAUUGUUAGAACAAUCUAAGGUGAAGAUUGUCUUACGUAGUUUGUCUAGUUUUAUGCUUUUUUGUGGCAGAAAGACAAGUGCAGUACCUGUUACUCUAUUACAGUUCAAAGUAGAAGUACUAUAUUCCUUUUAUCCUUGUCCAUCAUAGUGAUAGAGACAUUCACUCAUGUCAGACUGCUUAGAAACUUUCGAAUAUCUCACAGAUUCAACAAAUAUUUCAUUGUCCAUGGAGUCCAAAAUCGACUUAAAAAGUACAUUUAAAAAUAGGUCUCUGAAGGGGCGCCUGGGUGGCUCAGUCAGUUGAGUGUCCGGCUUCAGCUCAGGUCAUGAUCUCAUGGUUCGUGAGUUCAAGCCCCACAUCGGGCUCUGUGCUGACAGCUCAGAGCCUAGAGCCUGUUUCAGAUUCUGUGUCUCCCUCUCUCUCUGCCCCUCCCCCACUCAUUCUCAUUCUCUCUCUCUUUCAAAAAUAAUAAACACUAAAAAAAUUAAAACAAAAUAGGUCUCUGAAAAAUGAACUGGCCAAAAUUUGCAAGGUAACCAUACUGAACUAAUCAUAAUUUUUACUCAUAGCUUUAUGAGUAUAACAUCUAUAAUCAGCAAAAAUAAUAAAACUUAAUGGAUAGACUUAUAAAAUGUUCUACUACAAUCCAAUAGACAGCCUUUUAUGAUACUUUCAUAUGUUAGAUGAUAGCUGUGAAAUUAUUACACAAUAUUAAUGAACAACUCAACUCAUGGACUCACAGUUUUCAAUAAUGUUGAAAAACUGUAUAAAUAUCUGUAGUCCCAAAAUUUGAUCCACCUCAAAAUUCUCUAGAAAAGACAUUUCUUUUUUUUUUUUAAACAUUUAUUUAUUUUUGAGACAGAGAGAGACAGAGCAUGAACGGGGGAGGGUCAGAGAGAGGGAGACACAGAAUCUGAAACAGGCUCCAGGCUCUGAGCUGUCAACACAGAGCCCGAUGCGGGGCUCGAACUCACGGACCGCGAGAUCAUGACCUGAGCUGAAGUCGGGCACUUAACUGACUGAGCCACCCAGGCGCCCCUAGAAAAGACAUUUCUUAAAUCUGGGCACAAUGAACUUCACCAGGAUUCUCCACCUCUGACAUGACACAUGAAGCUUUCUAGUCCUAAAUGCACACUUUUACAAGGAGGAGACAUUGGUCCCAGAAAAUCACAGUUCCUUGAUCUUAUUUCAUAAACCCAUCCUAGCCAUAAGAAAGAAAAAUUAUUUGUGCAUAUUUUCUCUUGACUUUUAACUUAUAAUCUACAGCAGUGGUCAGCAACUUUUUCUGUAAAAAGAUAAUGAAUAUUUUAGACUUUUCAGUUGAUACAGUUUCUGUCACCACUAUUCCACUCUCCUGUUGCAGCACAAAAGCAGCCACAGAUAAAUGUAAAUGAAUGAGAAUGUCUGUGUUCUGAAUAAAACCUUAUUCACAAAAGCAGGUGGCAGACUGGAUUUGGCCUGUGGGCCACAGUUUGCCAACAGUUGUACCAGAGUACUAAUUCAUGUUUAGUCUCACCAAAGAGGUUUGGUUGGGAUGUAUACAUAUAUACACACAUAGAAUUUUAAUUUUUUAAGUUUAUUAUUUAUUUUGAGAGUAAGAGACAGAGUGUGAGAAGGGAAGGGGCAGAGAGAGAAAAUCCCAAGCAGGCUCCACACUGUCAGCACAGAGCCCAACAUGGGGCUCAAUUCCACCAAGCGUGAGAUCAUGACCUGAGCUGAAAUCAAGAGUUAGGCGUGUAACCAACUGAGCCACCCAGGUGUCCCACACAUAUAAUUUUAAAAACACAUAUCCACCCUAGUGAUGAUUGUUGCAUCCAAACAGAGAUCUACUAAAACAUAAUUACUGAUAUCAUCAUACGUCUCAGUCCUUAUGAUAGUCACUGACUGUAUAUUGCUUCACUUGAAUCCUCUAACAUACAGUUAGUAGAUGUUAACGCUAAGAAGUAAUUUUAUGUUCCAUUGUGGAGAAACCUGAUUAUAUUAGGGUAAAUGAGAUCAGCCAUCAUGAAAAUGAUACGUAUUUAUCAUAAUUACUAUCCUAAUAAUUCCACAUACUGCAUCUCUACCUAUAUUCCCUUACAUUUUAAUAAAGAAAUGCAUUCUUUCAUUAAGAAAAAAAACCCUCUACAUUCAUUCCAAAUAAUUCAAAAUGUGACUAUUAACAAUACAAUUUAUUCAGAUCUAAAUUUAAGAGAAGACAGUGUGGAAGAGGGAACAAAUGUGAGAAAGCGGAAGUAGAACAAUAUAUGACCAUUCUUGGAGGAAGAAAACUACAAAUUCAGAAGUGUGAGAUAUCUAGUAAGGUGGUUUUAACUUUAAUGACAAAAACAAACCAAAAAACCUGUAAAGCAAAAUCAUUGGAAUGUACAGGGACUCUUUUUGUUUUUUUAGGUUGAUAUUAUAAUCUUUUUCUUUUAGCUGAUAAGAGAAACCACAAAACACGGGAUAUAGAAUAUUUACAAAUAUGGGCGUAUUUUUUAAAGAUUUUAUUUUUAAGUAAUUUCUAUACCCAACAUGAGGCUCAAACUCACAACCUCAAGGUCAAGAGUUGUAUGUUUCACCUACCGAGCCAGCUAGGUGCUCCAAACAUGGGUGCUUUUUACCCAUCAGAUUUUAACAAAAGUCUCAAGCAGUGUAUCCCAAGUAGGAGGGUGGUACCAUUCUUACAAAGGGGAAUUUGGGAAUGCAUGGGGGCAAUUUUAUUCUGUUGCUGUGAUGAAGAUGAUACUAACAUUUCAUGGCCAGGGCCAGAGUUGUUGUAUACCCUGCAACUGGUUGGACUGUCCCACCCAAAAUGCCAAUACACCUCUAAUAAUUAAUAACUUAUAUUAUAAAUAAUUAAAUAAUUAUAUUAAAUUAUUAAAUAAUUAAUAAAUUAUUAAAUUAUUAAAUAAUUAUAACUUAAUGAUGGCCAUAGCUCAUGCUUUUUACUAAAGAUUUCAGAUUCCUCCGAAGAGGCAAUGAAAUUUUUAGAUAUUCCAACAAAAAUCUCAACCUCUAAUUGCAAACAAACAAAAUUAUUGGGGGGUUUGAAAUAACUACCACUGUUCUUUCUCUUUCUGCAGAAAUUCCAAAAGAGCUUAGCCAAAAAUAUUUUAUAUCGUGUAACAGAUUUUUAAGGUUUGCUUUUCUUUAAGUGUGUGCAGAUAAUGUAUAAAUAUAUGGUAUGGAUCUGGUGUUAAUUUUUAAUCCCUGCUUUCUAGAGCUGUGCUCUUUUUAAAUGUACCUACUCUGAAUUGAGAUGUGCCAUAAGUAUAAAAUAUACACCAGACUUCAAAGGUUUAAUAUGAAGUGAAAAAUGUAAAAUGUCUGGGGCACCUGGGUGGCUCAGUUGGUUAAACUUCCAACUCUUGAUUUCUACCCAGGUCAUGAUCUCACCAUCAUGAGAUCAAGCCCCAUGUCAGGCUCCAUGCUUAGCAUGUGGAGCCUGCUUAAGAUUCUCUCUCUCCCUCUCCCUUUGCCCCUCUGCUCCUUGCACACACAUACACACACUCUCUCUCAAAAUAAACAAAUAAAUAAAUGUAAAAUAUCUCAUUAAUAAUUUUUAUAUUGGUUACACAUUAAAACGAUAAUAUUUUGGAUAUACUGGUUUAAAUAAAAUGUAUUAUUAAAGCAUAUUUCAUCUGUUUUGCUUUGCCUUUCUAAUGUGACUUGUACAAAUUUUAAAUUAUAUUUGUAGCUGGCAUCAUAUUGCUAUUAGACAACAUAUUCUAGAGAAUUCACAAGAAACAAGGGAACUAUCAGAUUAUGUUCAGAUUUUCUAUUUAAUCAUUCUGGUUUAAUAUCAUCCUUUCCUCCUCUUAUAUAUUCCAUUCCAUUUCAUAUUCCAUGUAGAUUUAAAUGGAAUGAGCUUUCAUACCUGCAGGGAACUCCUACACUUUCUAUAUGCAAUUGUUUGGUGUUCACACUUGAAUAGUCUUCAUAAUGGUAUUCGUGUUCCUGUUCCUAACUUUGUACUGCAUGUAUUCAUUAAAAUGCUGAAGAUUCAGGAGAUUUGCUUUGUCCUGAGGUGUUAUCUGUAACAGGUCUGCUGUGACUGCAUGUUACCCUGAAGAAUAGAUUUUCUCCCUCUCAGUUUUUAAAGUCUCCUCCAGGAGGCGCUUUUGAACUGCCAAGCACACCUUGUGGGGGAUGUUACCUGCCCUCCUGAUUUUUAAUAAGGAAAGUUUCUAGGGAAGGUAGUAUCAAAAAAGGUCUCCUUUGUGACAGUCACUGAUUUACUGAGAAUCUUAACCAUCCCUGAUUAACCAUCCCUGUUGGCUAAGAGCUGUUUAAUUACUUAAGCAACAUAAUCAGCCUGUUAAUAUAUUAUCUCAUUUGCUUCUUAAAGAAACACUUGGUUUUAACAGUAGCCCCAGUUUUAUUGAUGAAGAAUCUAAGACUCAGAAAAAUUGAUGGCUUGCCUAGAGUCAUGCGAUUGGACUUCUCAUACCUAGUUUAGUACUUCUGAUUACAUUAUUCGCCUCUGCUGUUGUCUUCAGUAAGGAAGUAAUUCAUAUCUGAAAACUGUAAAUGGAGGAAGCCAAACAGUCUACACUGUGGAUAUUGGGUUGUAUAGGCCCCACCCUGGAAUCUGUUCUGCAUUUGUUUCAAAGCAUCAAAUAUUUGACUUCUGUGAAAAUAGUGCCAAAGUAAAUUAGGUGGAACCGGACACAGGAACUUAUAUGUCUGUAUAUUAGUGGCAAUUUCAGAUGUUUGAGUUUCUCUCUUUGUGCAAUAGAAAUUGGGAUAAUAUUUGUCAGGACUAGACAAAUAGCACAUGCUGAUAGGUAUUCUUGCCUUGUAUAUGACUCACUCUCAGUACAACAUACCCUUUGACAUGACUUUGACAUGGCUUUUGAUUGUGGCGAAGAAUUUAACCCUAUUGGCCAUGCCCAGCACAGAACUCCAUUCUCCGUGGCUUUCAGAACAAGAUAUUUGCUUUAAUUCCACUUCAGUCAUAUGAUCACUUAAAGUCUGAUAGCUUUCUGCUUUUUACUCUAUUAAGUCUAAGUUUUGUGCUUGAUUUUCAAGGACUUGUGUAAUCUGACCUACUCUGGCCACCAAAUUUAUCUUCCACUACUCUUCACUAGGAUCAUUUCACUCUGGUAACAUUAGAUCCCCUUACUGUCCUUUAAACAUUCUGCCUCUUUUCUCUUAUGUUGCUUUCUUCACUUGCCUUUUCCUUUCUUUUUAAAAUCUAAAUCCCACCUAUUCACCAAGACCUAAGUCAAGUUCCACCACUAUCAUUUAUUCUCCUCCUUCAUUGAACUCUUUAGUGCUUAGAAUUUGUACCUGUUUUGAAUGUGAAACUGUGUUUUCAUGUUAGCACUUACUGUGUGGCAGGGUUGUGUCUGCUUCCCAUCCCUCCCCCCCAACUUGUUACAAAGAGAGAUGAUUAUUAUUAACAAGAGAGAUUUGUUUAUCUUUUAGGAGUUUCCACUCUGAAGAAUAUAAUAGGAUCCAGAGUCCUCCCCCACCCUUGAGAAUUAGAGCCAAGGUUGGGCCUCCUUGGGCACAGCCGUAACAGGUGGACCCAUCUCCUAGACGCUGGCUACAAAGGAUGACACUGGACACAAAAGAAGUCAGAACUCUGGGAAGAGAGAAGAUCUCAGGAUGCCUAGCAAGAAAUGAUACUGUGCAGGCUGAUCUGAC